UGAUCCUGACUCAUGUUGAGGGCUGGGACCGUGCUUGACACAUGGCAGUAUAACGGACUUUACAUGAAACCUAGUGAUUGUAAAGUUAGUGGCGGACGGGUGAGUAACACGUGGGUAACAUGCCUUGUACAUGGGGACAACACUUGGAAACGACUGCGAAUACCGCAUAAGCGCACGGAGCUGCAUGGCUCAGUGUGAAAAACUUGAGUGGUACUAGAUGGACCCGCGGUGCAUUAGCUAGUUGGUAAGGUAACGGCCCGACCAAGGCGACGAUGCAUAGCCGAGUUGAGAGACUGAUCGGCCACAUUGGGACUGAGACACGGCCCAAACUCCUACGGGAGGCAGCAGUAGGGAAUCUUCCACAAUGGACGCAAGUCUGAUGGAGCAACGCCGCGUGAGUGAAGAAGGUUUUCGGAUCGUAAAGCUCUGUUGUUGGUGAAGAAGGAUAGAGGUAGUAACUGGCCUUUAUUUGACGGUAAUCAACCAGAAAGUCACGGCUAACUACGUGCCAGCAGCCGCGGUAAUACGUAGGUGGCAAGCGUUGUCCGGAUUUAUUGGGCGUAAAGCGAGCGCAGGCGGAAAAAUAAGUCUAAUGUGAAAGCCCUCGGCUUAACCGAGGAACUGCAUCGGAAACUGUUUUUCUUGAGUGCAGAAGAGGAGAGUGGAACUCCAUGUGUAGCGGUGGAAUGCGUAGAUAUAUGGAAGAACACCAGUGGCGAAGGCGGCUCUCUGGUCUGCAACUGACGCUGAGGCUCGAAAGCAUGGGUAGCGAACAGGAAAAGAUACCCUGGUAGUCCAUGCCGUAAACG
This 809-nucleotide ribosomal RNA is filed under the name uncultured bacterium. RNAcentral's name for it is "bacterial SSU rRNA". It matches the Rfam family "Bacterial small subunit ribosomal RNA", at positions 14 to 808 of the family's 1533-position model. The record is from RNAcentral.